RNAcentral lists this ribosomal RNA (609 nucleotides) under Saccharomyces cerevisiae (brewer's yeast). Its description in RNAcentral is "partial large subunit ribosomal RNA". It matches the Rfam family "Eukaryotic large subunit ribosomal RNA", at positions 37 to 660 of the family's 3401-position model. The record is from RNAcentral. Lineage: Eukaryota; Fungi; Ascomycota; Saccharomycetes; Saccharomycetales; Saccharomycetaceae.
UGCAUAUCAAAAAGCGGAGGAAAAGAAACCAACCGGGAUUGCCUUAGUAACGGCGAGUGAAGCGGCAAAAGCUCAAAUUUGAAAUCUGGUACCUUCGGUGCCCGAGUUGUAAUUUGGAGAGGGCAACUUUGGGGCCGUUCCUUGUCUAUGUUCCUUGGAACAGGACGUCAUAGAGGGUGAGAAUCCCGUGUGGCGAGGAGUGCGGUUCUUUGUAAAGUGCCUUCGAAGAGUCGAGUUGUUUGGGAAUGCAGCUCUAAGUGGGUGGUAAAUUCCAUCUAAAGCUAAAUAUUGGCGAGAGACCGAUAGCGAACAAGUACAGUGAUGGAAAGAUGAAAAGAACUUUGAAAAGAGAGUGAAAAAGUACGUGAAAUUGUUGAAAGGGAAGGGCAUUUGAUCAGACAUGGUGUUUUGUGCCCUCUGCUCCUUGUGGGUAGGGGAAUCUCGCAUUUCACUGGGCCAGCAUCAGUUUUGGUGGCAGGAUAAAUCCAUAGGAAUGUAGCUUGCCUCGGUAAGUAUUAUAGCCUGUGGGAAUACUGCCAGCUGGGACUGAGGACUGCGACGUAAGUCAAGGAUGCUGGCAUAAUGGUUAUAUGCCGCCCGUCUUGACCC